GAUGAAUGCUGGCGGCGUGCUUAACACAUGCAAGUCGAGCGGCAGCGCGAGUAGUUUACUACUUGGAGGCGAGCGGCGGACGGCUGAGUAACGCGUGGGAACAUGCCCUAAAGUGAGGAAUAACUGCCCGAAAGGGUGGCUAAUGCCGCAUAUGAUCUUCGGAUUAAAGGAUUUAUCCGCUUUAGGAGUGGCCUGCGUAUGAUUAUGUAGUUGGUGCGGUAAUGGCUCACCAAGCCGACGAUCAUUAGCUGGUCUGAGAGGAUGACCAGCCAGACUGGAACUGAGACACAGUCCAGACUCCUACGGGAGGCAGCAGUGAGGAAUAUUCCACAAUGGGCGAAAGCCUGAUGGAGCAACGCCGCGUGAAGGAUGAAGGCCCUCGGGUUGUAAACUUCUUUUAUGAGUGAAGAAUAUGACGGUAACUCAUGAAUAAGCACCGGCUAACUACGUGCCAGCCGCCGCGGUAA
This 467-nucleotide ribosomal RNA is filed under the name uncultured bacterium. RNAcentral's name for it is "partial 16S ribosomal RNA". It matches the Rfam family "Bacterial small subunit ribosomal RNA", at positions 28 to 523 of the family's 1533-position model. The record is from RNAcentral.